This 337-nucleotide ribosomal RNA is filed under the name uncultured bacterium. RNAcentral describes it as "partial 16S ribosomal RNA". It matches the Rfam family "Bacterial small subunit ribosomal RNA", at positions 338 to 667 of the family's 1533-position model. The record is from RNAcentral.
CCUACGGGAGGCAGCAGUGGGGAAUAUUGCGCAAUGGGCGAAAGCCUGACGCAGCGACGUCGCGUGAGGGAUGAAGGUCUUCGGAUCGUAAACCUCUGUCAGCAGGGAAGAACGGUCACUCUGCUAAUCAUCAUUGAAUUUACGGUACCUGCAAACGACGCACCGGCUAACUCCGGGCCCGCAGCCGCUGGAAAACGGAGGGUGCGAGCGUUAAUCGGAAUUACUGGGCGUAAAUCGCUCGGAAGCGGGAGGUCAAGUCAAGGGGUAAAUCCCCGCGGCCAAAGUCCGAACUGCCUUUGAAACUGGCAAACUUGAGUGUGUGAGAGGAUAGUGGAAU